CCCCAAUCAGGCCUGUAAAUAUUAGAGGGGAUACAUUUUUUAGUCAUCCCUUUUAAUGUCUUUUUUCCCAUUUGUAGUUUCCAUUUUCUCUUUAUUGAAUUUUUUUUUUUUUUAACAUUCAUAAAUACAUAGAAUUACUUUAGUUACAUUAAUAUAUAUAAAAAAAGAUUGCAGUUAUUUUACAUGUAACAAGACAUACUUAAACAUAGCAAUCAUUCAUAGUUAUUGGUUGGAAUUUAUAUAUUUAACAAAAGAAAAAUAGUAUGAAGAAAAAACCUGUUAUCUGUUAUGAUAAGGAGAAUGAAUAUUUAUAGGAAACAUUCUUUAAUCUAUUUUUAGCCAAUUAUCAAAAUGAUGUAUGUAUUUUCUAUUAUUAAACAUGCAACUCCCCUCUCCAUUUCUAGCUGGAAUAACAAUUGAGCUAUAAACUGUUUCAUAUCUGGUGUGGUUAUUUGUUUCCAAGUUCUUGCUAUUAGUAUCUUCGCAGCAAUAUGGGAGUGGAUAGUCAAUACUAAUUUGUCUCUUGGGAGUCUAUCCCAAUUAAGAUGGAGUAGACCUACCUGUGGGCAUUUUACAACUUUAAUAUUGAAGAACUCCAGAAAAAGAUAUACGGAUUCCCAUAAGGGAAUUAUCGAAUUAAGUCUAUUUUAUCGAAUUUAUCUGAGUAUUUAGACAUUCUUUUACAACCUUCAGUGAAACGUAUGAAUUCAUACCUAAAAGACUCGAUGUCCUUACUCCGCUUUUUAAAUACUUUUCAAUGGAAAAAUACAUAUGUUUUAGUGACCUGUGAUGUGCAAUCUUUGUACACCAUUAUUUGCCACAAAAAAGGAUGUUUAGCAGUUGAAAAAAUUUUAAAAGCUGAAAAGAAUAUCCCUGAUCAACAAAUAGAUUUUAUUAUCCAAGGUAUUAAUAUUAUUUUAAACAAUAAUUAUUUUUGGUUUUUAGAUUCUUUUUAUCUACAAAAACAGGGUACUGCUAUGGGGACCAGGUUUGCCCCCAGCUAUGCUAACCUUUUUAUGGCGGAUUGGGAAUCCACUGCCAUUUUGGGUAAACAUGGCUGGCGGGCGAGCCUGGUUACAUAUUUUAGAUACAUUGAUGAUUUGUUUUUUUAUCUGGGAUGGCCCAGAAGACUCUCUUAAUCAGUUUUUACAACAUCUUAACAAUAAUGACAAAGGUAUCAUUUUAACUUGGGAUUUUAGCAAAUCUUCCAUCAAAUUUUUAGAUUUAGAGAUUUUUAUUAAAAAUGAUCAAAUCUAUACUAAGACUUUUUUUAAGAAGGUAUGCACUAAUAACGUUAUUGAUGUAUCUAGUUGUCACCACAAACCAUGGCUUCAAGGGAUACCAAAAAGCCAGUUUCUCCGUUUACGUAGAAACUGUUCCCUUACACAAGAUUUUGAGGAACAGUCUCAAUUAUUGUCCAACAAAUUGUUUCAAAAAAAUUAUCCUAGAAACAAUGUGGAUCAAACGUUAAAAAAUAUCAGGACAACCAAUAGAUCUGAACUUCUUGAACAUAAAACAAAUAAAGAAAUGAAAAUUGCCCCAGUAUUGCCAAUUAUUUUCGACUUCAAUAACAAAAGUAAUGUUAUGAAGAAGAUCAUAAAGAAACAUUGGCAUAUAUUAAAAUAGGAUGAGACUCUGGCUGGGAUUAUCCCCGAAAAACCACAAGUUAUAUUUAGGGGGGCACCCAGUUUUAAGUCCAUCCUUACAAGUAAUUAUACUAAACAUAAACAUAGCACCUUAUCUCCUAGUCCUUCUACCUUUUUGAAUAAACCAAGUGGUUUUUAUAAAUGCAAUAGAUGCAUUGUUUGCAAGCGUACGAGUAAUAUUAUUAAGUCCAAAACUACAUCGUUCACAUCUACAAUCACACAGAAAAUAUAUCAAAUAAAACACUUUAUUCAUUGUAAUACCAAAAACAUGAUUUAUCUUCUGGAAUGUCCAUGUGGACUACAAUAUGUUGGCAUGACCACUAGAAAUUUAAAAACAAGAUUAGCCGAACACUGUAGGAAUAUCCUAAAAGGCUAUGAGAAUCAUUCUGUCUCAAAACAUUUCUUACAACAUGAUAAGAACCCAAAAUAUCUUAAGUGUUUAGGCAUAGACAUAUGUAAUGUCCCAUGGAGAGGCGGUGACAUUAAAAAAGUUCUUGGCAAAAGAGAAAUGGAAUGGACAUAUAAUUUGAAAACCCUUGCCCCAAAAGGUCUGAAUAUUGAUUUUGAUCUUUUUAAUUUUUUAUAAAAGUUGUUUUUUUAUUUUUUUAUUAAUUUUUUAGGUUUUAUCUUUUAGGCUUUAUUUUACACAUUUUCAAUUAUCUUUCAUAAUCUUACCUCUCCCCAUAUCUUAAUAUUAUCUUCUUUUAUGUACAUAUCCCCUUUUUUACUUUUUAUUUAUUUAUUUUUUAUACAACUUAUUUUAUAUAAUUGUAUAUGCUGUUCUCUGUGGCAGGGCUGUUGCACAAGUGUAUAUAUAUAUGUUCUGUGUGAAUACUGCCUUGUAAGAUUGUACUAUUAUACUAUGUCUUUUGUUUGCUCAUGUUUGGUUUUGAUCCCAUGGUUUGGGCACAUGCCUGCUGCUUGGGAGGACGGUCAGUGUGUGUUGUCAGCCACACGAAGGCUAUCUGCUUGUUGUUAUCAGCAGAUAGCCUUUUCUCUGCUCGAUUAAAUUUCUCCUCGAGCAUCAGGGAGAAUUCCUCCCCUUCUGUGAUGCAUGCGUUCCACACAAACGGAACGCAUGCGUUCCACCUAACAUCACGUGACGCGGAAGUGCCUAGAGAUCGCGCGUCACGUGAUUGUUUUCAAUAUGUUAUUUUUAGCUAUAAAAACCUUCGUUUUUUUAAUUAAAGUACUAUACCUAUCUCACAUUUACCAUAUUUAUAUAUAUGUAAGGAAAAUUAAUGUUUUUUUUGUCUGUACUAUUUUGAAUGUUCUGAUGAUGUCAUUAUGGCGGGAAUUUUAAACCCAUAACCCUAUUGUAUCCUAUAUAAACCUUGUAUGUCAGGUGUGUCCCCCCCUUUUUUCACUUUUAUCUACUUGAAGAAGCCCUUGUGGCGAAACGCGUCUAGAUAUUUUAUUACAUUACAAUAAAGAAUUUUUUGGCAUAAAAUACUUUAUUGCCAUUUUUUCUUGCUUGUUUUUCGCCUGACUAUCCAUAUUGCCUAAUUUCAGAAGAAGUUUAAAGAAUCCAUAGGUGGGGAUUAUACCACCCAAGCGCUUAUAGUGAGCAGUAUAUACCUUCUCAAAAGAAUGUGAGUAAUAUUCAUUUUAUAAUUUUAAUAUUUUACUGCAACACAGAGAGCACUAUAUAUUUUUAUUUUCUUCUUCUGGGUCUGUACUUUGGACGUUGAACGUGUACCAGAGAAUCGCCAUCUGAAGUCUACUACAUAUAUCCUUGAGUGGGGAUCAUUCCACUUCAUGUGUUUUACAUCAGAGCUGGAUCCUCAGCUCUGAAAAUUGUGAGUAAGACCUAUCUUAUUAUCUCAUUUUCAACGUAUCUACAUACUGUACCAUUGGAGUCCUUUUUCUUCUUUUCUCCACAUAUGCUCCAUUGAAUCCUAUAUGACCUUACUCCAUGUAACGGACCGUUUUGCACACAAGGGGUAAAAACCGUUUAGGCGAUCGGCCCCCUUUCCAGAGAUCCAGGCACAGCUACUGCAGAACACCAAAACUCACGAACUGGAUACAAAAUAGCACUCCAACUCCCGAACUGGAACCUCCCAAAUAGCUGCUAGCAGACGAACAG
RNAcentral lists this long non-coding RNA (3732 nucleotides) under Pelobates cultripes (western spadefoot toad). The record is from RNAcentral. Lineage: Eukaryota; Metazoa; Chordata; Amphibia; Anura; Pelobatidae.